ACGCUCGACACCUACGGAGCAGCAGUGGGGAAUAUUGCACAAUGGGGGAAACCCUGAUGCAGCGAUGCCGCGUGAAGGAAGAAGUAUCUCGGUAUGUAAACUUCUAUCAGCAGGGAAGAAAAUGACGGUACCUGACUAAGAAGCCCCGGCUAACUACGUGCCUGCAGCCGCGGUAAUCUGAGCGGGCUGGCAAGGC
This 196-nucleotide ribosomal RNA is filed under the name uncultured bacterium. RNAcentral describes it as "partial 16S ribosomal RNA". It matches the Rfam family "Bacterial small subunit ribosomal RNA", at positions 326 to 539 of the family's 1533-position model. The record is from RNAcentral.